CUUACACCAUUGUUAGGCAAGAGAAGAGCUAGACAUGAAAUAAAAUGGCUCCCAUUUACCAUUCAAGAAGUUACCAACUUCUCCCACACGUUAUACCUGAAGAGGUCGCACUGAAAAUCAGCAUCUUUGCUUAUAAAAUGUGUAUAAUGUUUUCUUCCACACAGGUGGAGGUGCUGAGGAGGGUCAGCAAUAGUGCUGACAAAAGGCUUUUCUGCUGUAGAUCCCUUGAAGCCAGUGGAGUUACCCUAACAAGAAGUCUCACCCAGGACACUUCCUGCACAAGCCCAGGGAGCACUUCUAGGAGCAUGACCUCCCUCAGAUGUACCUAUCGUCCCCACAACAUGGCACAGCACCACCCAUUGCUGCUGCAUUCAGAAGACAUGCUGUAGCUGUUGUCUGGAAUCUGUACCGACUUUAAAAUUAUUGCCUCUAGACAUCUUGCUCGUUGUGCUUGUAUCACCUUCAUGGUACGUCGGAUGUUUCCUGCAG
This 489-nucleotide long non-coding RNA is filed under the name Gallus gallus (chicken). RNAcentral's name for it is "lncRNA (ENSGALG00010007406.1)". Lineage: Eukaryota; Metazoa; Chordata; Aves; Galliformes; Phasianidae. The record is from RNAcentral.